GAUGAACGCUGGCGGCGUGCCUAAUACAUGCAAGUCGAGCGAACAGACGAGGAGCUUGCUCCUCUGACGUUAGCGGCGGACGGGUGAGUAACACGUGGAUAACCUACCUAUAAGACUGGGAUAACUUCGGGAAACCGGAGCUAAUACCGGAUAAUAUAUUGAACCGCAUGGUUCAAUAGUGAAAGACGGUUUUGCUGUCACUUAUAGAUGGAUCCGUGCCGCAUUAGCUAGUUGGUAAGGUAACGGCUUACCAAGGCAACGAUGCGUAGCCGACCUGAGAGGGCGACCGGCCACACUGGAACUGAGACACGGCCCAGACUCCUACGGGAGGCAGCAGUAGGGAAUCUUCCGCAAUGGGCGAAAGCCUGAUGGAGCAACGCCGCGUGAGUGAUGAAGGUCUUCGGGUCGUAAAACGCUGUUAUUAGGGAAGAACAAAUGUGUAAGUAUCUAUGCACGUCUUGACGGUACCUAAUCAGAAAGCCACGGCUAACUACGUG
RNAcentral lists this ribosomal RNA (497 nucleotides) under uncultured bacterium. RNAcentral describes it as "partial 16S ribosomal RNA". It matches the Rfam family "Bacterial small subunit ribosomal RNA", at positions 28 to 507 of the family's 1533-position model. The record is from RNAcentral.